RNAcentral lists this ribosomal RNA (369 nucleotides) under Triticum aestivum (bread wheat). RNAcentral describes it as "partial small subunit ribosomal RNA". The record is from RNAcentral. Lineage: Eukaryota; Viridiplantae; Streptophyta; Magnoliopsida; Poales; Poaceae.
AUGGCCGCCAAGCCCGUCCGGCCCAGCCAUGAAGCCGGUCUCUACUCCACAUCAGCCAUGGAUUCCCGCGCCCCGCAUCGCCUGUCUGGUGCCUCGCUUCCCGGCGCUGUCCCUGCCCAAGAGCUCCGUGUGGAAGCAGCUUCCUCCCUCCUCCUCCCCAACGGCGCCUCGCACGUCAACGUGCGGUCCCCAUGGAUGAAGACCACCGGCCCAUGCUUGACGGCGUCGCCAAGAGCAAGCCCGCUCCCGCCCCUGGAUCCCUCCUCCGACUUCCUCAAUCCUUCCGGAACAUCUCCCUUGCCGCCGCCGCCUCAUCGGUCAGAUCUCUCUCUCUCUCUCUCUCAGUGUCUGGUGAUGAUUGUUCUGUGA